UACAAGUGAUGCUUUGUUCCCUUAUGUAAAAGUACAACUGUUUUCACGCUUUCAAAGGUAUUUGUAUACCAAAAGGAAAUAUAAGGAAAAAAUAGUUCGAGAUCGCAAGACGCGACGAUGCUUUGUCUAUAUCAUUGAAUAUCAGCAUGUUUUGCUGUGAAGAUCAUUUUAACUUGCAAGAGGAUGUAGAAAACUAUAUGAGAGUACGGCUUGAUCCAGAUGUAUCUGUACAAUUAAAAAAAGGACUAUUGCCUACAAUAUUUGAUUGUCAACCUGACAGAUAACGUUGUCAUUUAAAACAUGAAUGUCUAGGAAUUCUAAAGCGUCAGAAAAUAGAAAGUUUGAAUGAAAUCUUAUAAACUAAAUCGGUUGAUAAGGCUUGUGGACACAUAAUAGAUGAAUCUGUUACUGAAGAGACAGACGUCAAUAUUGAUAAUCCUUCAUCAAUUGAAGAUAACAGCGUCGAAAGUAAUUUGAAUAAUGUAUUUCCAAAAUACAAGGACAUCGGCGUUUAAGCAAAAUUACAAGUUCGAAAAAUAAUGCGUAGCAAAUACGUACAAAAUGUAACUGUUAUACGAGAUGUUAUGUAACAGAAAUUCAACAGAAGCAAAAACAACACAAUCUUCAUCGACAACCAGUACUACUAUAACAAAUAAUCUUGAUGAUACUUAACGAUGAAUACCUAUCAUCCGAAGAAACAAAAUAUGUAUGAACAGAAGAAAUUUACGAGAAAUUUAAAAAUAACACUUAUUACAA
Long non-coding RNA from Acromyrmex echinatior (Panamanian leafcutter ant), 756 nucleotides. Lineage: Eukaryota; Metazoa; Arthropoda; Insecta; Hymenoptera; Formicidae. The record is from RefSeq and is a predicted model, not a curated record.